GUAUCCUCAGCCUGACAGAACAAGACAGAAAACAAAUGUUGAAAAGAACACCUUGGGGAGAGCUUCAAUGAAGAUCUGAAUUGAGCCUGGGACUUCCCACAUUUGAACUGAGGAAGAUGAGAUGUAUUAAGCAAUGGACCACUCCAGCACAGGCUUCAGUCAUGGGCUUCUUCAGAGGUUGUCUUCUGCUCCAGUGCGGUGGCCAUCACAGGCUACAGACAGGAGUCUGCCCCACUUGAUCUUUAAGGGCAUCAAGGGCUCAGGCUGUUGUCUCUCCAUGGGCCAAAGGGGAAUGGCUGCUCCAGCAUGCCUACCACAUUGACCUCCACACCCACAUGGUUUUCUCUACCAUAUUCCACUCCUCUUCCAAACAAAGAACUCUCCAAACAAA
Pogoniulus pusillus (Red-fronted tinkerbird) is the source of this 391-nucleotide long non-coding RNA. RefSeq lists it as uncharacterized. The record is from RefSeq and is a predicted model, not a curated record. NCBI's taxonomy places the organism in Eukaryota, Metazoa, Chordata, Aves, Piciformes, Lybiidae. The transcript is spliced from 3 exons.